AAUAAAUAGGUAAACAUCAUUGUAAAAUCAAUACAUUCCUCACUCCACUCAGAAUCUAAACGCACAGUAAAAAUAAUAAAUAUCGAACCGCUCCGAAAAGCAGGUAUUAUAUAACUGUAUACAAAAACGUGAAAGCAUUUGUCACGGAUUCCCGACGAAACUGUACACAGAAAAGAACAACUUUGAUCAGGUUCGACCGGUUUUCAACAUGACUGAGC
This is a non-coding RNA of Cinara cedri, 218 nucleotides long. Lineage: Eukaryota; Metazoa; Arthropoda; Insecta; Hemiptera; Aphididae. The record is from the annotation of a GenBank genome assembly.